GGGUACUGACUGCUUAUUGCACCACAUGUGUUUUUCUUUGAAACAAACUUGCUUUGGCGGUGGGCCCAGCCUGCCGCCAGAGGUCUAAACUUACAACCAAUUUUUUAUCAACUUGUCACACCAGAUUAUUACUAAUAGUCAAAACUUUCAACAACGGAUCUCUUGGUUCUCGCAUCGAUGAAGAACGCAGCGAAAUGCGAUACGUAAUAUGAAUUGCAGAUAUUCGUGAAUCAUCGAAUCUUUGAACGCACAUUGCGCCCUCUGGUAUUCCGGAGGGCAUGCCUGUUUGAGCGUCGUUUCUCCCUCAAACCGCUGGGUUUGGUGUUGAGCAAUACGACUUGGGUUUGCUUGAAAGACGGUAGUGGUAAGGCGGGAUCGCUUUGACAAUGGCUUAGGUCUAACCAAAAACAUUGCUUGCGGCGGCAACGUCUACCACGUAUAUCUUCAAACUUUGACCUCAAAUCAGGUAGGACUACCCGCUGAACUUAAGCAUAUCAAAAGCCGGGAGGAA
This 511-nucleotide ribosomal RNA is filed under the name Candida albicans. Its description in RNAcentral is "eukaryotic LSU rRNA". The stretch from base 143 to 296 matches the Rfam family "5.8S ribosomal RNA". Lineage: Eukaryota; Fungi; Ascomycota; Pichiomycetes; Serinales; Debaryomycetaceae. The record is from RNAcentral.